CUGGCGGCAGGCCUAACACAUGCAAGUCGAGCGCGCCUUCGGGUGAGCGGCGGACGGGUUAGUAACGCGUGGGAACGUGCCCUUCUCUACGGAAUAGCCUCUGGAAACGGAGAGUAAUACCGUAUACGCCCUUUGGGGGAAAGAUUUAUCGGAGAAGGAUCGGCCCGCGUUAGAUUAGGUAGUUGGUGGGGUAACGGCCUACCAAGCCUACGAUCUAUAGCUGGUUUUAGAGGAUGAUCAGCAACACUGGGACUGAGACACGGCCCAGACUCCUACGGGAGGCAGCAGUGGGGAAUCUUAGACAAUGGGGGCAACCCUGAUCUAGCCAUGCCGCGUGAGUGAUGAAGGCCUUAGGGUCGUAAAGCUCUUUCGCCUGUGAUGAUAAUGACAGUAGCAGGUAAAGAAACCCCGGCUAACUCCGUGCCAGCAGCCGCGGUAAUACGGAGGGGGUUAGCGUUGUUCGGAAUUACUGGGCGUAAAGCGCGCGUAGGCGGAUUAGAAAGUUGGGGGUGAAAUCCCGGGGCUCAACCUCGGAACUGCCUCCAAAACUGCUAGUCUAGAGUUCGAGAGAGGUGAGUGGAAUUCCGAGUGUAGAGGUGAAAUUCGUAGAUAUUCGGAGGAACGCCAGUGGCGAAGGCGGCUCACUGGCUCGAUACUGACGCUGAGGUGCGAAAGUGUGGGGAGCAAACAGGAUUAGAUACCCUGGUAGUCCACACCGUAAACGAUGAAUGCCAGUCGUCGGGUAGUAUACUAUUCGGUGACACACCUAACGGAUUAAGCAUUCCGCCUGGGGAGUACGGUCGCAAGAUUAAAACUCAAAGGAAUUGACGGGGGCCCGC
RNAcentral lists this ribosomal RNA (839 nucleotides) under uncultured marine bacterium. Its description in RNAcentral is "bacterial SSU rRNA". It matches the Rfam family "Bacterial small subunit ribosomal RNA", at positions 36 to 924 of the family's 1533-position model. The record is from RNAcentral.